AGUGAACGCUGGCGGUAGGCCUAACACAUGCAAGUCGAACGGCAGCACAGUAAGAGCUUGCUCUUACGGGUGGCGAGUGGCGGACGGGUGAGGAAUACAUCGGAAUCUACUUUUUCGUGGGGGAUAACGUAGGGAAACUUACGCUAAUACCGCAUACGACCUACGGGUGAAAGCAGGGGAUCUUCGGACCUUGCGCGAUUGAAUGAGCCGAUGUCGGAUUAGCUAGUUGGCGGGGUAAAGGCCCACCAAGGCGACGAUCCGUAGCUGGUCUGAGAGGAUGAUCAGCCACACUGGAACUGAGACACGGUCCAGACUCCUACGGGAGGCAGCAGUGGGGAAUAUUGGACAAUGGGCGGAAGCCUGAUCCAGCCAUACCGCGUGGGUGAAGAAGGCCUUCGGGUUGUAAAGGCCUUUUGUUGGGAAAGAAAAGCAGCAGGUUAAUACCCCGCUGUUCUGACGGUACCCAAAGAAUAAGCACCGGCUAACUUCGUG
This 492-nucleotide ribosomal RNA is filed under the name uncultured bacterium. RNAcentral's name for it is "partial 16S ribosomal RNA". It matches the Rfam family "Bacterial small subunit ribosomal RNA", at positions 29 to 507 of the family's 1533-position model. The record is from RNAcentral.